CUAUAAUGCAAGUCGAGCGGACCGACGGGAGCUUGCUCCCUUAGGUCAGCGGCGGACGGGUGAGUAACACGUGGGUAACCUGCCUGUAAGACUGGGAUAACUCCGGGAAACCGGGGCUAAUACCGGAUGCUUGAUUGAACCGCAUGGUUCAAUCAUAAAAGGUGGCUUUUAGCUACCACUUACAGAUGGACCCGCGGCGCAUUAGCUAGUUGGUGAGGUAACGGCUCACCAAGGCGACGAUGCGUAGCCGACCUGAGAGGGUGAUCGGCCACACUGGGACUGAGACACGGCCCAGACUCCUACGGGAGGCAGCAGUAGGGAAUCUUCCGCAAUGGACGAAAGUCUGACGGAGCAACGCCGCGUGAGUGAUGAAGGUUUUCGGAUCGUAAAACUCUGUUGUUAGGGAAGAACAAGUACCGUUCGAAUAGGGCGGUACCUUGACGGUACCUAACCAGAAAGCCACGGCUAACUACGUGCCAGCAGCCGCGGUAAUACGUAGGUGGCAAGCGUUGUCCGGAAUUAUUGGGCGUAAAGCGCGCGCAGGCGGUUUCUUAAGUCUGAUGUGAAAGCCCCCGGCUCAACCGGGGAGGGUCAUUGGAAACUGGGGAACUUGAGUGCAGAAGAGGAGAGUGGAAUUCCACGUGUAGCGGUGAAAUGCGUAGAGAUGUGGAGGAACACCAGUGGCGAAGGCGACUCUCUGGUCUGUAACUGACGCUGAGGC
Molecule: ribosomal RNA, 721 nt
Filed under: Bacillus licheniformis
Lineage: Bacteria; Bacillati; Bacillota; Bacilli; Caryophanales; Bacillaceae
Description: bacterial SSU rRNA
Rfam family: Bacterial small subunit ribosomal RNA
Source: RNAcentral